UUACGCGUACUCAACGUGACGUCGCCGUUCUCGAUCCGCAUCUGGACCCGAUAGCCGUCGAACUUGAUCUCGUGCACCCAGUUGCUGCCGGAGGGCGGGUUCUCGACGGAUGCACACAACUGCGGCUCGACGAAAUCAGGCAGCUUCGUAACGCGCUUUACGGCGGCUCUUGAUUUUGCGUGUUUGGCAACGGGCUUUUCCUUUGCGGCCGAGGUCUUGACGUGGCCCUUCCUG
Molecule: unclassified non-coding RNA, 234 nt
Filed under: Hevea brasiliensis (rubber tree)
Lineage: Eukaryota; Viridiplantae; Streptophyta; Magnoliopsida; Malpighiales; Euphorbiaceae
Source: RNAcentral